AUCCAUUUGACGAGUCCCGAAUAGGACGAAAUGCAUGUUGUCCUGGAU
This is a non-coding RNA of Trichobilharzia regenti, 48 nucleotides long. Lineage: Eukaryota; Metazoa; Platyhelminthes; Trematoda; Strigeidida; Schistosomatidae. The record is from Rfam.